Molecule: ribosomal RNA, 495 nt
Filed under: uncultured bacterium
Lineage: Bacteria
Description: partial 16S ribosomal RNA
Rfam family: Bacterial small subunit ribosomal RNA
Source: RNAcentral
GAUGAACGCUGGCGGCGUGCCUAACACAUGCAAGUCGAACGGAGUUGCUUUGAUGAAGUUUUCGGAUGGAUUUAAUUUAAUUCUAGUGGCGGACGGGUGAGUAACGCGUGGGUAACCUGCCUUAUACAGGGGGAUAACAGUCAGAAAUGGCUGCUAAUACCGCAUAAGCGCACAGAGCUGCAUGGCUCAGUGUGAAAAACUCCGGUGGUAUAAGAUGGACCCGCGUUGGAUUAGCUUGUUGGUGGGGUAACGGCCCACCAAGGCGACGAUCCAUAGCCGGCCUGAGAGGGUGAACGGCCACAUUGGGACUGAGACACGGCCCAGACUCCUACGGGAGGCGGCAGUGGGGAAUAUUGCACAAUGGGGGAAACCCUGAUGCAGCGACGCCGCGUGAAGGAAGAAGUAUCUCGGUAUGUAAACUUCUAUCAGCAGGGAAGAUAGUGACGGUACCUGACUAAGAAGCCCCGGCUAACUACGUGCCAGCCGCCGCAGUAA